AACCCCGGCGAGGGGAGUGAAAAAGAACCUGAAACCGUGUACGUACAAGCAGUGGGAGCCUCUUUUAUGGGGUGACUGCGUACCUUUUGUAUAAUGGGUCAGCGACUUAUAUUCUGUAGCAAGGUUAACCGAAUAGGGGAGCCGAAGGGAAACCGAGUCUUAACUGGGCGUUAAGUUGCAGGGUAUAGACCCGAAACCCGGUGAUCUAGCCAUGGGCAGGUUGAAGGUUGGGUAACACUAACUGGAGGACCGAACCGACUAAUGUUGAAAAAUUAGCGGAUGACUUGUGGCUGGGGGUGAAAGGCCAAUCAAACCGGGAGAUAGCUGGUUCUCCCCGAAAGCUAUUUAGGUAGCGCCUCGUGAAUUCAUCUCCGGGGGUAGAGCACUGUUUCGGCAAGGGGGUCAUCCCGACUUACCAACCCGAUGCAAACUGCGAAUACCGGAGAAUGUUAUCACGGGAGACACACGGCGGGUGCUAACGUCCGUCGUGAAGAGGGAAACAACCCAGACCGCCAGCUAAGGUCCCAAAGUCAUGGUUAAGUGGGAAACGAUGUGGGAAGGCCCAGACAGCCAGGAUGUUGGCUUAGAAGCAGCCAUCAUUUAAAGAAAGCGUAAUAGCUCACUGGUCGAGUCGGCCUGCGCGGAAGAUGUAACGGGGCUAAACCAUGCACCGAAGCUGCGGCAGCGACACUAUGUGUUGUUGGGUAGGGGAGCGUUCUGUAAGCCUGUGAAGGUGUACUGUGAGGUAUGCUGGAGGUAUCAGAAGUGCGAAUGCUGACAUAAGUAACGAUAAAGCGGGUGAAAAGCCCGCUCGCCGGAAGACCAAGGGUUCCUGUCCAACGUUAAUCGGGGCAGGGUGAGUCGACCCCUAAGGCGAGGCCGAAAGGCGUAGUCGAUGGGAAACAGGUUAAUAUUCCUGUACUUGGUGUUACUGCGAAGGGGGGACGGAGAAGGCUAUGUUGGCCGGGCGACGGUUGUCCCGGUUUAAGCGUGUAGGCUGGUUUUCCAGGCAAAUCCGGAAAAUCAAGGCUGAGGCGUGAUGACGAGGCACUACGGUGCUGAAGCAACAAAUGCCCUGCUUCCAGGAAAAGCCUCUAAGCAUCAGGUAACAUCAAAUCGUACCCCAAACCGACACAGGUGGUCAGGUAGAGAAUACCAAGGCGCUUGAGAGAACUCGGGUGAAGGAACUAGGCAAAAUGGUGCCGUAACUUCGGGAGAAGGCACGCUGAUAUGUAGGUGAAGUCCCUCGCGGAUGGAGCUGAAAUCAGUCGAAGAUACCAGCUGGCUGCAACUGUUUAUUAAAAACACAGCACUGUGCAAACACGAAAGUGGACGUAUACGGUGUGACGCCUGCCCGGUGCCGGAAGGUUAAUUGAUGGGGUCAGCGCAAGCGAAGCUCUUGAUCGAAGCCCCGGUAAACGGCGGCCGUAACUAUAACGGUCCUAAGGUAGCGAAAUUCCUUGUCGGGUAAGUUCCGACCUGCACGAAUGGCGUAAUGAUGGCCAGGCUGUCUCCACCCGAGACUCAGUGAAAUUGAACUCGCUGUGAAGAUGCAGUGUACCCGCGGCAAGACGGAAAGACCCCGUGAACCUUUACUAUAGCUUGACACUGAACAUUGAGCCUUGAUGUGUAGGAUAGGUGGGAGGCUUUGAAGUGUGGACGCCAGUCUGCAUGGAGCCGACCUUGAAAUACCACCCUUUAAUGUUUGAUGUUCUAACGUUGACCCGUGAUCCGGGUUGCGGACAGUGUCUGGUGGGUAGUUUGACUGGGGCGGUCUCCUCCUAAAGAGUAACGGAGGAGCACGAAGGUUGGCUAAUCCUGGUCGGACAUCAGGAGGUUAGUGCAAUGGCAUAAGCCAGCUUGACUGCGAGCGUGACGGCGCGAGCAGGUGCGAAAGCAGGUCAUAGUGAUCCGGUGGUUCUGAAUGGAAGGGCCAUCGCUCAACGGAUAAAAGGUACUCCGGGGAUAACAGGCUGAUACCGCCCAAGAGUUCAUAUCGACGGCGGUGUUUGGCACCUCGAUGUCGGCUCAUCACAUCCUGGGGCUGAAGUAGGUCCCAAGGGUAUGGCUGUUCGCCAUUUAAAGUGGUACGCGAGCUGGGUUUAGAACGUCGUGAGACAGUUCGGUCCCUAUCUGCCGUGGGCGCUGGAGAACUGAGGGGGGCUGCUCCUAGUACGAGAGGACCGGAGUGGACGCAUCACUGGUGUUCGGGUUGUCAUGCCAAUGGCACUGCCCGGUAGCUAAAUGCGGAAGAGAUAAGUGCUGAAAGCAUCUAAGCACGAAACUUGC
Molecule: ribosomal RNA, 2289 nt
Filed under: Escherichia coli
Lineage: Bacteria; Pseudomonadati; Pseudomonadota; Gammaproteobacteria; Enterobacterales; Enterobacteriaceae
Description: partial 23S ribosomal RNA
Rfam family: Bacterial large subunit ribosomal RNA
Source: RNAcentral